UCAGUGUGUGUGUUAGUGGAAGCGUCUGGAAAGGCGCGCGAUACAGGGUGACAGCCCCGUACACAAAAAUGCACAUGCUGUGAGCUCGAUGAGUAGGGCGGGACACGUGGUAUCCUGUCUGAAUAUGGGGGGACCAUCCUCCAAGGCUAAAUACUCCUGACUGACCGAUAGUGAACCAGUACCGUGAGGGAAAGGCGAAAAGAACCCCGGCGAGGGGAGUGAAAAAGAACCUGAAACCGUGUACGUACAAGCAGUGGGAGCACGCUUAGGCGUGUGACUGCGUACCUUUUGUAUAAUGGGUCAGCGACUUAUAUUCUGUAGCAAGGUUAACCGAAUAGGGGAGCCGAAGGGAAACCGAGUCUUAACUGGGCGUUAAGUUGCAGGGUAUAGACCCGAAACCCGGUGAUCUAGCCAUGGGCAGGUUGAAGGUUGGGUAACACUAACUGGAGGACCGAACCGACUAAUGUUGAAAAAUUAGCGGAUGACUUGUGGCUGGGGGUGAAAGGCCAAUCAAACCGGGAGAUAGCUGGUUCUCCCCGAAAGCUAUUUAGGUAGCGCCUCGUGAAUUCAUCUCCGGGGGUAGAGCACUGUUUCGGCAAGGGGGUCAUCCCGACUUACCAACCCGAUGCAAACUGCGAAUACCGGAGAAUGUUAUCACGGGAGACACACGGCGGGUGCUAACGUCCGUCGUGAAGAGGGAAACAACCCAGACCGCCAGCUAAGGUCCCAAAGUCAUGGUUAAGUGGGAAACGAUGUGGGAAGGCCCAGACAGCCAGGAUGUUGGCUUAGAAGCAGCCAUCAUUUAAAGAAAGCGUAAUAGCUCACUGGUCGAGUCGGCCUGCGCGGAAGAUGUAACGGGGCUAAACCAUGCACCGAAGCUGCGGCAGCGACGCUUAUGCGUUGUUGGGUAGGGGAGCGUUCUGUAAGCCUGCGAAGGUGUGCUGUGAGGCAUGCUGGAG
This 959-nucleotide ribosomal RNA is filed under the name Escherichia coli. RNAcentral's name for it is "partial 23S ribosomal RNA". It matches the Rfam family "Bacterial large subunit ribosomal RNA", at positions 317 to 1278 of the family's 2925-position model. The record is from RNAcentral. Lineage: Bacteria; Pseudomonadati; Pseudomonadota; Gammaproteobacteria; Enterobacterales; Enterobacteriaceae.